GCAAACUUGGUCAUUUAGAGGAAGUAAAAGUCGUAACAAGGUUUCCGUAGGUGAACCUGCGGAAGGAUCAUUACUGAGUGAAGGUCUUCCCCCCGGGGGAGGCCUAACCUCCCACCCGUGUCUAUUAUACCCUGUUGCUUCGGCGGGUUCUCCCCCAUUUCUGGGGGUGUUUCCCGCCGGAGACCCCAACAUGAACACUGUAUUGAGAGAAUUGAAGUCUGAGUUUGAUUGUUACCAAUCAGUUAAAACUUUCAACAAUGGAUCUCUUGGUUCCGGCAUCGAUGAAGAACGCAGC
This 295-nucleotide unclassified non-coding RNA is filed under the name uncultured fungus. Its description in RNAcentral is "partial contains small subunit ribosomal RNA, internal transcribed spacer 1, and 5.8S ribosomal RNA". The stretch from base 1 to 73 matches the Rfam family "Eukaryotic small subunit ribosomal RNA", at positions 1759 to 1831 of the family's 1831-position model. The record is from RNAcentral. Lineage: Eukaryota; Fungi.